RNAcentral lists this ribosomal RNA (301 nucleotides) under uncultured bacterium. Its description in RNAcentral is "partial 16S ribosomal RNA". It matches the Rfam family "Bacterial small subunit ribosomal RNA", at positions 509 to 809 of the family's 1533-position model. The record is from RNAcentral.
CAGCAGCCACGGUAAUACGUAGGGUGCAAGCGUUAAUCGGAAUUACUGGGCGUAAAGCGUGCGCAGGCGGUUAUAUAAGACAGAUGUGAAAUCCCCGGGCUCAACCUGGGAACUGCAUUUGUGACUGUAUAGCUAGAGUACGGCAGAGGGGGAUGGAAUUCCGCGUGUAGCAGUGAAAUGCGUAGAUAUGCGGAGGAACACCGAUGGCGAAGGCAAUCCCCUGGGCCUGUACUGACGCUCAUGCACGAAAGCGUGGGGAGCAAACAGGAUUAGAUACCCGAGUAGUCCCUGUCUCUUAUAA